CGUGCCGUAAUACAUGCAGGUCGAGCGAAUCGAUAGAAGCUUGCUUCUGUUGGUUAGCGGCGGACGGGUGAGUAACACGUGGGCAACCUGCCUGUAAGACUGGGAUAACACCGGGAAACCGGUGCUAAUACCGGAUAAUCCUUUUCCCUCAUGAGGAAAGUUUGAAAGUCGGUUUCGGCUGACACUUACAGAUGGGCCCGCGGCGCAUUAGCUAGUUGGUGAGGUAACGGCUCACCAAGGCGACGAUGCGUAGCCGACCUGAGAGGGUGAUCGGCCACACUGGGACUGAGACACGGCCCAGACUCCUACGGGAGGCAGCAGUAGGGAAUCUUCCACAAUGGACGAAAGUCUGAUGGAGCAACGCCGCGUGAGCGAUGAAGGCCUUCGGGUCGUAAAGCUCUGUUGUUAGGGAAGAACAAGUACCGGAGUAACUGCCGGUACCUUGACGGUACCUAACCAGAAAGCCACGGCUAACUACGUG
RNAcentral lists this ribosomal RNA (481 nucleotides) under uncultured bacterium. RNAcentral describes it as "bacterial SSU rRNA". It matches the Rfam family "Bacterial small subunit ribosomal RNA", at positions 43 to 507 of the family's 1533-position model. The record is from RNAcentral.